UCCAGGACCGGAGUUGCCUAUCCCUGUUCUAGACUAUAAAUGCUAAUGAGGUCAUAGAAAGACUAGUGUACUUCCUCGUUGCAUCAUCGGUUGUUUAACUGGUUAGGACAGAUGAGACUGUAUUUAGUUUCCGUACAAAAGAAGAGCACAUCGAUGAAUGCAGACCGAACCUCUGCUGACUAUAAAACAAGGAUUCUCUCUUUGGAUCUUUACUGCGUGACUUUGGUCAUCUACAUCUCUCUCCGUCUCACAGAUACGAAUGGAGUGUAAAAAGACAAUAAAGGAAACAAAAACUACAGGAGCAUCAGAAAGUGCAGAUGAGCAAAAAACGAGGACAGAGAGAGGUGGAGUGUAAUGUGAUCCGGAGCAUAUGUUUCUGAUGUCACAAGAUUCUCCCAUCGAACCCUUCAUCACUGAAGUCCAUCAUCAUCAUCAUCAUCAUCAGACUUCUGAUCAGCUGCUGUCUUCUGGAAGCUUUUACACUCGUCUGAGCACAAAAACAUUUCAAGAGCUUCUUUCCCAGAGAAUCUGCUGAUGCAGCACUUUACUCUCAAUCAUAUGCAUCAGAUUUUUUUGUUUAA
Long non-coding RNA from Carassius gibelio (silver crucian carp), 581 nucleotides. RefSeq lists it as uncharacterized. NCBI's taxonomy places the organism in Eukaryota, Metazoa, Chordata, Actinopteri, Cypriniformes, Cyprinidae. The record is from RefSeq and is a predicted model, not a curated record. The transcript has 3 exons.